UGGCUCAACAGUCAAAGACAGGUUUAUUUUGGAGAAUAAACCUGAGAGGGGCUUCUGGCUGAUUUCAGUCAGGAGCAUUCUCUCUUGCAGACUAAGGAUAUUUAAGGGUUUAGGAAGAGGGAAGCUUUUUGUAGGUUUGGAAUGUUUCCAUGUGAAGGAAAGUUUACUGCGGGUUUGGAAUGUCUCUGGUCGGAGGGGAGGCUGUCUCGGGGUCGGCAUAUUUCUGGCCAGAGGGGUGUUUAUCUUAGGGUUGGAAUGUUUCUGAUUAUGCUGACAAUAGCCAUUAGGCUGAUGUUUUGGGGCUGGAUUUAGGCAGUUUUUAAAUAAAAGAGAACUUAAAAUGGUGGUGUUUGUCCAAGAUGGUGAUGUUCCUGCUGUCAAUUAGCAUAAACAAAAGAGAAUUCUGAUACCCUGUUGGAAUGUCCUCAUUCCUCUGAGCUUCUCCACUCACAGGAUAAAUGCAGGAGUGGCUUCCCCUCAUGGACACCUGCAAAUGCAGAGUGUGGGGGCUCUCCUGGCCCUGCAUCACUAGCAAGAGCAAAAGCUGCUCCGAGUCUUGUUUUUAGAACCUGGUCGACAGCUGGAGCAGAAUUGAUGCCUAUGGAAGGGCAGAAAGCUCUGUACUGUGUCUCCUAAAAGGUUUGGGGAAACUAAAUCUAGAAACUUUCUCUCUUAACUUUCGUGAAACUCCUGAACAAAGCUUAGGAGAGGAGGUAUGAGAACUUGAAAUCGACAUUUAGUCACAGAAAAAUAGAAGUUCUUUUUUUGUACCCUUCAAUUUCAUGAUCUGUGAAAACAUCACAUAUUCGGUUUGCAAACUAUAUCUUCAACCAGCUUAAGAAACAAAGAACCUCCAGUUUCCUUGGACAACUUCUUAGGAGAGGAGGAGAGAUUGUAAAGCAACAAUAACAACAAAUUUCUCAGCUAAGAAAGUCUCAAAGUUCCCGCUUUCUACAAGAUUGUUCUUGUUUUAGAAAGGAAGACUGGAUCAUGUAGCAAUGACUGCUGGUGACCUAUUCAAUGUCCACCAAUAUUCUUCUGUAUUACCGAAACUCUGCUUCUUUUGGAGUAUCAAUACACUUCAUUUUCCAGCUUUUGUUGCAACCAGCACAGCCAUGUAACCAGUUCUAGCCAUCAGGAUGUGAGCAGCCCUUCUGGCAGGGCUGUCUCAUAGGAGAUGACAGCAUGAAACUGCCAUAAUCAUCACAGACUGCUUUGCUCUGGACUUCGUUGUGAGUAGGUCUAUAGAUAUAGAGGUGAUUUUUUUAUACUGACCUUACAUGCGGAGACUGCGUAAAGAGACAUUAAAUUUAAGUUGUUUGCAGAUUCUUUUGGAUUUUUCUUCAUAUAGAGACAGUUCAUCUGUGUCUAAUUCACCCAACAACAUUUUUGAUGCAUGAUGCAUAUGGUGCUAAAUGCUGGGAAUGCAAACCUGAGUAAGCAUUAGAGAUAAAAGGUAAAACCAGAAAUCCAGUGGACAGCCAUCUGAAACCCGUUCAGCCUGAAGCACUUUUUUCUAGACUCAAGAGCAUCGUUGUAUCAAUAGAAAAGGGCAAAGAUGGUGAAACAAAGUCAUGUAUAUCCAUCCAUGUGCUUUCUCAAGCUUUUUAUGGGUAUUUUCUACAACUUAGAUGUGCCUUGUCCUCACCAAAACCCAUGUGGAAGUUUCAUUGCAAGAGACAGUGUUGGGAAGUGGGGCCCAGUGGGAGGUGUUUGGGUCAUAGGGGUGGAUUCCUCACGAUAAAUUGGUGCCGUUCUCAGGAUAGUGAGUGAGUUCUUACUCUUGCAAGACUGGAUUAGUUCUUGCAGAGAUGGAUUAGUUCCCUCAAGAGUAGGUUGGUAUAAAACAUGUCACCCUCCUUGGUCCCUUCCUUUUCACACAUGCCUACCCCAGUUUUGACCUUCUGUUAUGUUAUGACACAGCAGGAAAGCCCUGGCCAGAAGCCAGCGCCAUGCCCUUGAAAUUUCCCACCUGCAGAACCAUGAGCUCAAUAGACCUCAUUUCUUUCUAAACGACCCAGUCUCAGAUACUCUGUUAUAGCAACACUAAAUUGACUAAGACAGUGUUAUUUUGUAGAAGUAAUGUAAUCCCUCUGAAAAGAACAUGGGAUUCAGAGAAAAAUGCCACAGCUCUUAGUCCAGUUUUGCCAUGACCUAGUAGAAUGAGAUUGCUGAUGCUAAAAAUGUUGAAAUAAAAUCAUAGUAUAAAGGUCCUUGUCUAUUUCAAAUCAAUAGGAGUACUUGAAGAUUCUCCCUGCUUACAAUGUAAACAUCAUGAAGAAAGAGAUGUGUUGGACUUGUUCAUCGCUAUAUUUCCUGGCUCAGAUCCUGGCACUGAGUAGACAUCAAGAAAUAUUUAAAUGAAUGAAAGAAUGAAUGAAUGAAUGAACGAACUGUGUCCUCUUGUAGAGCUGAGGGUGUUUUACCACUACCCUAAGAGCUGACACCAGGAGGUCUUGCUGCAAAGCCAGGCACUGUAUUCCACACUGUAUUUCCAUCAUCGCUUUUAAUGAGACUUCUUUGCAAAUAUGUAUGGUAUCUUUUAAAAUACCUGAUAACCAGCCAGCAGGGGUGGUCAGCUGCUACACUGGUAGCCACAAACAGAAUCCAAGACACAGAACUUCAUACGGUGUCACAGCUUCAUUUUCCAGGCUACAGCUCCCACUGCCCACAUCAGAACCAUCUGCAGGUCCAUAAGCUGUGAGUUUCUUUGGGAGUUGGGGGAGUGUCUUUUGGAUGUUUAUAACUUAUGCAUCUUAAUAUUGAAUGUGCACUUAAUACAUGGAACUUCAUAGUACUUGAUUUUUUAUGCAAAAAUGACUUAAUUAAAAUUUCUUGAAGAAACAUCGGAGCUUCAACAGUCAGGAUUCCUAUUAACACUGUGAUUGUGUUCCUUUGGUGGACCUUGGAAGUGUUCAAACAAUCUCAAGUACAUAUGCAAGUUAGCUGAGGGAAGAGCUGUUUUUCAUUCCUGUGAGACAGCUCUCUGAAUGAAUUCAGUUUGUCUAGACAGACUGUAAAUCCACUGGGUAAUUAUCUCACCUCCCAUCACUAUGGAGUAAAAAAUAAAUAAAGAGCGUUAGAAACUUCCCUUUUACCAUUUAUUAAUUAUAUUAUUCUCUGUUUAGCAACAGAGAGAUAUGUACAGAAGCCACAAAAGCUCUAGAUAAUUACAUUUUCCAAUUACAAGAGUUUCAGUUUUUGAGACUAUGACAUCAGAAUAUUUCAGAAUAAGUCUUCAGUUUAGAACCAGGGUUACGAUUCUUUUUAAAGAGGAUUACUUUAUAUGUAUUUCUGUGUUGCUUUGAAGGAUCCCUGAGUAAUUUCUAUGCAUGUGUCACAGGUUUUUUUUUUCUUGUCCUUCCUUCCUGGUGUCUGACUGGCCCCCGCCACUGCCCCAAGUAACCACUCCCGCCCCGAGAUUACUGGGUCUAAAUGGCACAGGUGUUCUCCUUUUAUCCCGAUUACCCUUGAAAGGAUAGGGAGAAAACAUUAGAAAUCAUGUCCCACGUAGGGUCAAGGCUGCCAUGAGCUUAAGGCAGGAAGUUAAGUAAACAUUGGAGACCAAAGUCAGAUUUCUAAAUCCUUUAGUCAUUUGGCUGACAAUAUCUAAGGAUCAGUUACAUGCAUGAGAGAGUCAAUACAGAAUUUAGAAAUUGCUUAAGAAAUUAACAACAACCCGAUCCCGGCUGCAGUGGAGUCUGAAGUCCCGCAGUUGGUCUGUCUUAUUCCCUGGGGUUCCUAUCCCAGCCCUUACAGAGUGCCCUGGUCCCCAUACCCUCUCCUACCCCAGGCCUUGCAGGACUGCAGGAGAUUAUUUAUGCAGCUGAAUCAAGAUGCUGACUUCAGCACCGUAAAACCCGGCUAGCAGGGAGUCCAAGCCUAAGGGCUGUUUUGCUGACAGUUUUAUAAGGUUCAGUAAAUGCCAACGGCCCCCUCCUCCUUUCUUUGUGUGGCUUGAAUUUCGGGGUCUUGCAGGCUGGAGAGUGGGGGCUCUGCAGUCGGCGCUGGGAGGCUCACAGAGGAGCUACCCAAAUGAAUGAAAGCACAGCACCAUCCUGGAAAGCACAGCGCCGUCC
This 4079-nucleotide long non-coding RNA is filed under the name Homo sapiens (human). RNAcentral's name for it is "non-protein coding lnc-PRKCQ-2:2". The record is from RNAcentral. Lineage: Eukaryota; Metazoa; Chordata; Mammalia; Primates; Hominidae.